Molecule: ribosomal RNA, 553 nt
Filed under: Sympherobius barberi
Lineage: Eukaryota; Metazoa; Arthropoda; Insecta; Neuroptera; Hemerobiidae
Description: partial 16S ribosomal RNA
Rfam family: Bacterial large subunit ribosomal RNA (bases 407-553)
Source: RNAcentral
UUGUUUAUCAAAAACAUGUCUUUUUGUUUAUAAUUUAAAGUCUAACCUGCCCACUGAUUUUAUAUUUAAAGGCCGCAGUAUUUUGACUGUGCAAAGGUAGCAUAAUCAUUUGUCUUUUAAUUGAAGGCUGGAAUGAAUGGUUGAAUGAGGUAUUAGCUGUCUCAUUUUAAUAAAUUAAUAAUUUAGCUUUUAAAUUAAAAGGUUUAAAUAUUAAUAAAAGACGAGAAGACCCUAUAGAUUUUUAUAUUAUAAUAUUUAAUAUUAUUAAAGUUAAAAAUUUAAAAUUAAUUAUUUUAAUAUUUGGUUGGGGUGACUGAAAAAUUAAAUUAACUUUUUUUAUAUUAAAUACAUUAAUUUAUGAUUAAUUGAUCCAAUUUUAUUGAUUAAAAGAUUAAAUUACCUUAGGGAUAACAGCGUAAUUUUUUUAGAGAGUUCAUAUCGAUAAAAAAGAUUGCGACCUCGAUGUUGAWUWAAAGAUAAUAUUUAAAUGCAGAAGUUUAAAUGUUAGGUCUGUUCGACCUUUAAAUCUUUACAUGAUCUGAGUUCAAACCGG